Molecule: ribosomal RNA, 612 nt
Filed under: uncultured bacterium
Lineage: Bacteria
Description: bacterial SSU rRNA
Rfam family: Bacterial small subunit ribosomal RNA (bases 1-522)
Source: RNAcentral
CCUACGGGAGGCAGCAGUGGGGAAUAUUGGGCAAUGGAGGAAACUCUGACCAAGCGACGCCGCGUGCGGGAUGAAGGCCUUCGGGUUGUAAACCGCUUUCAGCAGGGAAGAAGCGAAAGUGACGGUACCUGCAGAAGAAGCACCGGCUAACUAUGUGCCAGCAGCCGCGGUAAUACAUAGGGUGCAAGCGUUGUCCGGAAUUAUUGGGCGUAAAGAGCUCGUAGGUGGUUCGUCACGUCGGAUGUGAAAAUCUGGGGCUUAACCCCAGACCUGCAUUCGAUACGGGCGAGCUUGAGUAUGGUAGGGGAGUCUGGAAUUCCUGGUGUAGCGGUGGAAUGCGCAGAUAUCAGGAGGAACACCAAUGGCGAAGGCAGGACUCUGGGCCAUUACUGACACUGAGGAGCGAAAGCGUGGGGAGCGAACAGGAUUAGAUACCCUGGUAGUCCACGCCGUAAACGGUGGGCACUAGUUGUGGGGACCUUCCACGGUCUCUGCGACGCAGCUACGCAUAAGUCGCCCGCCGUCGGGAGGUACGACGUCGCGAAGAAUUAAACUAACGAAAGAAGUUAGACGGCGUGAGACGUGCCGACGGACGACGACGAGGGAGGUAGG